This 373-nucleotide ribosomal RNA is filed under the name uncultured organism. Its description in RNAcentral is "bacterial SSU rRNA". It matches the Rfam family "Bacterial small subunit ribosomal RNA", at positions 526 to 896 of the family's 1533-position model. The record is from RNAcentral.
CGGAGGGUGCGAGCGUUGUCCGGAAUCACUGGGCGUAAAGGGCGCGUAGGCGGCCCACGCAAGCGUGCGGUGAAAGCCCGGGGCUCAACCCCGGGUCGGCCGUGCGGACUGCGGGGCUGGAGCACUGUAGGGGCAGAUGGGAUUCCGGGUGUAGCGGUGGAAUGCGUAGAGAUCCGGAAGAACACCGGUGGCGAAGGCGGUCUGCUGGGCAGUGGCUGACGCUGAGGCGCGACAGCGUGGGGAGCAAACAGGAUUAGAUACCCUGGUAGUCCACGCCGUAAACGAUGGGCACUAGGUGCCUGGGGGAGCGACCCCCCGGGUGCCGUCGCUAACGCAUUAAGUGCCCCGCCUGGGGAGUACGGCCGCAAGGCUG